AUACACCUUUAGAGCGUGGUGAGGAAGGUGGGUUUAUUUGCCUAUGCGCAAACAGUGUGGCAACAGACAAGCUCGUAUUUGGAACGGGAACAACUUUUUCAGUUGAGCCAAAGAGUCAAAAAGAAUCUGCCCCAGAAGUCAUUGUGCUCAAAUCAAAGAAGCCUAAACAACAUGACAACAAACUGAACACGGCUUGUUUGGCGAGGUCGUUCUACCCUGGGAACAUCAGCCUUGAUGUGCCCGAGAGUGUUGUUUUGUAUGACCUGAAGGCACCUCUGGUCACGUCUGGGGGGAUGUACAGCACCAUGAAGGUCGUUGGAGUGGAGCCAGAUGCAGAGGUGACCUGCAAGGCUACACACAAAGGGAACAGGAGCAAAGCCAGCACAACUCUGCCAGAAGAGAAAACUGAAGAAUUUGGAACAGUUAAUGAUUGCAGCAUUACAGAUGCUUCUAAAAGAGGUGAGUUGCCUAAAGGAACAUCAGAGUACAGCUGCUUUAUUGGGGAUUCAGUAACAAUGCAGGAACGUGCACUGCCUUUGGUACAGAAAUGUCUGAAUUGGAGAUACUUA
This 569-nucleotide long non-coding RNA is filed under the name Manacus vitellinus (golden-collared manakin). RNAcentral describes it as "lncRNA (ENSMVIG00005016894.1)". Lineage: Eukaryota; Metazoa; Chordata; Aves; Passeriformes; Pipridae. The record is from RNAcentral.